UUCAAAUUUUAUUAUAUGGUUGAGCUUCAUUUUGUUUUUUUUUUUUUUUUAAAGAUAGGUAGCACGCUAUCCGCUUCAUUUAUUUCACUUAAAAAUAAACUUCGCUAGAAAUGUGAAUCAACUAGGAUUCGAACUUGGAUCUCGGAUACCAACCACCAAGUCUUUUGCCAUUUGUUUUAGGGACGGUUGGUGUUGAGCUUCAUUUUGUUAGGGAAGGGUGAUAAAAACCUUAUAUUACUUUCGCACUAAUUAUUUUUUUUUAAAAAAUACUCUCUCUCUCUCUAUAUAUAUAUAUUUGAAGAGAAAUAAAUGGUAUAUACAUAGACACAAUAUCAAUC
Molecule: long non-coding RNA, 338 nt
Filed under: Ananas comosus (pineapple)
Lineage: Eukaryota; Viridiplantae; Streptophyta; Magnoliopsida; Poales; Bromeliaceae
Description: long non-coding RNA (ACOM_LNC006294)
Source: RNAcentral